RNAcentral lists this transfer RNA (72 nucleotides) under Verrucomicrobia bacterium LW23. It matches the Rfam family "tRNA". Rfam says of the family: Transfer RNA (tRNA) molecules are approximately 80 nucleotides in length. Their secondary structure includes four short double-helical elements and three loops (D, anti-codon, and T loops). RNAcentral also lists the same sequence under 2 other names. Lineage: Bacteria; Pseudomonadati; Verrucomicrobiota. The record is from Rfam by way of RNAcentral.
GGGCAGUUAGCUCAGCGGUAGAGCACCUCGCUUACACCGAGGCUGUCGGGGGUUCGAAUCCCUCACUGCCCA